Molecule: transfer RNA, 75 nt
Filed under: Nanobdellota archaeon
Lineage: Archaea; Nanobdellati; Nanobdellota
Description: tRNA-Glu
Rfam family: tRNA
About the family: Transfer RNA (tRNA) molecules are approximately 80 nucleotides in length. Their secondary structure includes four short double-helical elements and three loops (D, anti-codon, and T loops).
Source: RNAcentral
GCUCCCGUGGUGUAGUCCGGUCAAUCAUCUCUGAUUUUCGAUCAGAGGACUCGGGUUCAAAUCCCGACGGGAGCG